GAUGAACGCUGGCGGCGUGCUUAACACAUGCAAGUCGAACGAUGAAGCCCAGCUUGCUGGGUGGAUUAGUGGCGAACGGGUGAGUAACACGUGGGCAACCUGCCCCAAACUCUGGGAUAACUCCUCGAAAGAGGUGCUAAUACCGGAUACGAACUAGGUAGACAUCUGCACUAGUUGGAAAGUUUUUCGGUUUGGGAUGGGCCCGCGGCCUAUCAGCUUGUUGGUGAGGUAACGGCUCACCAAGGCUACGACGGGUAACCGGCCUGAGAGGGCGACCGGUCACACUGGGACUGAGACACGGCCCAGACUCCUACGGGAGGCAGCAGUGGGGAAUAUUGCACAAUGGGCGAAAGCCUGACGCAGCGACGCCGCGUGAGGGAUGAAGGUCUUCGGAUCGUAAACCUCUUUCAGUAGGGACGAAGCGAAAGUGACGGUACCUAAAGAAGAAGCACCGGCUAACUACGUGCCAGCAGCCGCCGCCG
Molecule: ribosomal RNA, 482 nt
Filed under: uncultured bacterium
Lineage: Bacteria
Description: partial 16S ribosomal RNA
Rfam family: Bacterial small subunit ribosomal RNA
Source: RNAcentral